CGGAAAGGCCCCUUUGGGGGUACUCGAGUGGCGAACGGGUGAGUAACACGUGAGUAACCUGCCCUUGACUUCGGGAUAACUUCAGGAAACUGGGGCUAAUACCGGAUAGGAAUCCUUGCUGCAUGGUGGGGGUUGGAAAGCUUCGGCGGUUUUGGAUGGACUCGCGGCUUAUCAGCUUGUUGGUGGGGUAGUGGCUUACCAAGGCUUUGACGGGUAGCCGGCCUGAGAGGGCGACCGGCCACAUUGGGACUGAGGUACGGCCCAG
RNAcentral lists this ribosomal RNA (265 nucleotides) under uncultured Actinomycetales bacterium. RNAcentral's name for it is "partial 16S ribosomal RNA". It matches the Rfam family "Bacterial small subunit ribosomal RNA", at positions 67 to 334 of the family's 1533-position model. The record is from RNAcentral. Lineage: Bacteria; Bacillati; Actinomycetota; Actinomycetes; Actinomycetales.